Molecule: long non-coding RNA, 119 nt
Organism: Gavialis gangeticus (Gharial)
Lineage: Eukaryota; Metazoa; Chordata; Crocodylia; Gavialidae
Exons: 5
Source: RefSeq, a predicted model, not a curated record
CAAAUUAAAGAUGCUUGGGGUGCCAUGCAAUACUAGCAUUGUUAGGUGUUCAAACAUGAUUCACAAGAUAAGCUCAAGGAUAUCAAAUAGGAAUCCAUAGUCACCUGCUGUUGUCUUUG